AUGCCCUCCUUCCCUCCCCCCCUUCCCCGAAAGUCAGUGAGCAGAUUGUGCUGUUUUUAUUCCAAGUUCUUCAUUACGCAGAAGCCUGAGUACCCAACCGGCUGGAAUUCCGACAGGAGGAUCAUCUGUUUAUGUUGGAGCCACGCUGGCUGCCACCCUCAUCACCGCGGCGCCCGAGGAAUUAAAAAUCAGAGUCUCUGAAGAUGUAUGUGCCAGGCUGUACAUGAGAAACUCUGGAUUGCCUUCAUUUUGUCGUUUAAAACAACCCAGCCAUGCCCUGUUGUGUAAAUCGCCAGCCACUGACUGUCAUCAUGUCAAUUUGUCAUUGCUAAUGAGAUAACAUUAGUUUUAUAAUUAUUAAUUUAUCACAAAAGCCAUAUAUCAGGGGUACCUGGAUUGCUCAGUGGUUAGCAUCCACCUUUGGCUCCAGAUCAUGAUCCUGGUGUUCUGGGAUCGAGACCUGCAUCAGAUGCCCCACUGGGAGUCUGUUUCUCCCUCUGCCUAUGUCUCUGCCUCUCUGUCUCUCAUGAAUAAAUAAAUAAAAUAUUUUAAAAACUGUAUAUCAACUCUCCUAUCAGUAAAAACAUAUCAACAAUGGGAAAAUGUUAACAUUAAUGUAAGUUUGUCUUUUAAUAAUAUAUGUGCUUGACCUCUGACCUCUGAGUUUCUUUGAGAAUGUGAUUUGUGGGCAUUUCUCCUCCUAGAGAAGAGAGAAAAUUACAAAUGUCAUUUCUGGCAAGGUACCCUGAAUUCUGUGUUGUGUGUGUGUCUAUAAAUGUAAAAUAUAAAUAGCUACAUGCAUAUGCAUAUAUGUGGUGGAUGUUACAGCCCACAUUUCCAAAUGUGCAAGAAAUAGAACAUUCUUUAAUUUCUCAAGCAAUUUAAUUGCUUUU
Molecule: long non-coding RNA, 893 nt
Filed under: Canis lupus familiaris (dog)
Lineage: Eukaryota; Metazoa; Chordata; Mammalia; Carnivora; Canidae
Description: lncRNA (ENSCAFG00030010380.1)
Source: RNAcentral